CUGCAGUCGACGAUGAUGCCCACUUGUGGGUGGAUUAGUGGCGAACGGGUGAGUAACACGUGAGUAACCUGCCCUUAACUCUGGGAUAAGCCUGGGAAACUGGGUCUAAUACCGGAUAUGACUCCUCAUCGCAUGGUGGGGGGUGGAAAGCUUUUUGUGGUUUUGGAUGGACUCGCGGCCUAUCCCCUUGUUUGUGAGGUAAUGGCUCACCAAGGCAACAACAGGUAGCCCGCCUGACAGGGUGACCGGCCACACUGGGACUGACACACCGCCCAAAAUCCUACAGGAGGCACCAGUGGGGAAUAUUGCCCAAUGGGCGCAAGCCUGAUGCAUCGACACCGCGUGAGGGAUGACGGCCUUCAGGUUGUAAACCUAUUUCCGUAGGGAAGAAGCGAAAGUGACGGUACCUGCAGAAGAAGCGCCGGCUAACUACGUGCCAGCAGCCGCGGUAAUACGUAGGGCGCAAGCGUUAUCCGGAAUUAUUGGGCGUAAAGAGCUCGUAGGCGGUUUGUCGCGUCUGCCGUGAAAGUCCGGGGCUCAACUCCGGAUCUGCUGUGGGUACGGGCAGACUAGAGUGAUGUAUGGGAGACUGGAAUUCCUGGUGUACGGUGAAAUGCCCAGAUUCAGGAGGAAACCGAUGGCGAAGCAGGUCUCUGGGCAUUAACUGACGCUGAAGACCAAAGCAUGGGGAGCGAACAGGAUUAGAUACCCUGGUAGUCCAUGCCGUAAACGUUGGGCACUAGGUGUGGGGGACAUUCCACGUUUUCCGCGCCUUAGCUAACGCAUUAAGUGCCCCGCCU
Molecule: ribosomal RNA, 800 nt
Filed under: Arthrobacter sp.
Lineage: Bacteria; Bacillati; Actinomycetota; Actinomycetes; Micrococcales; Micrococcaceae
Description: bacterial SSU rRNA
Rfam family: Bacterial small subunit ribosomal RNA
Source: RNAcentral